GAUGAACGCUGGCGGCGUGCUUAACACAUGCAAGUCGAACGGAAAGUCCCAACCUUGCUUGGCUACUCGAGUGGCGAACGGGUGGUUACCACGUGGGUGAUCUGCCCUGCACUUCGGGCUACGCCUGGGAAACUGAGACUAAUACCCGAUAGGUCGUUGGGCUUAAUGCCAUUGCGGCGAGUUUUUACGGUGUGGGAUGAGCGCGCGUCCUAUCUGCAUGUUGGUGGGGUGAUGGGCUACCAAGGCGUCGACGGAUCGCCGGCCUGAGAGGGUGGACGGCGACAGUGGGACUGAGAUACGGCCCAGACUCCUACGGCAGGCAGGAGUGGGGAAUAGUGCACAAUGGGCGAAAGGCGGAUGCAGCGACGACGGGUGGGGGAUGAGGGACGUCGUGUUGCAAACUCCAUUCGCUAGGGAGGAAGCAUGUUUGUGACGGUACCUGGAGAAGAAGCACCGGCUAACUACGUG
Molecule: ribosomal RNA, 468 nt
Filed under: uncultured bacterium
Lineage: Bacteria
Description: partial 16S ribosomal RNA
Rfam family: Bacterial small subunit ribosomal RNA
Source: RNAcentral